GUGGGGAAUCUUGCGCAAUGGGCGAAAGCCUGACGCAGCCAUGCCGCGUGAAUGAUGAAGGUCUUAGGAUUGUAAAAUUCUUUCACCGGGGACGAUAAUGACGGUACCCGGAGAAGAAGCCCCGGCUAACUUCGUGCCAGCAGCCGCGGUAAUACGAAGGGGGCUAGCGUUGCUCGGCAUUACUGGGCGUAAAGGGCGCGUAGGCGGACAGCUUAGUCAGAGGUGAAAGCCCAGGGCUCAACCUUGGAAUUGCCUUUGAUACUGGCUAUCUUGAGUUUGGGAGAGGUGAGUGGAACUCCGAGUGUAGAGGUGAAAUUCGUAGAUAUUCGGAAGAACACCAGUGGCGAAGGCGACUCACUGGCCCAAUACUGACGCUGAGGCGCGAAAGCGUGGGGAGCAAACAGGAUUAGAUACCCCAGUAGUCC
RNAcentral lists this ribosomal RNA (425 nucleotides) under uncultured bacterium. Its description in RNAcentral is "partial 16S ribosomal RNA". It matches the Rfam family "Bacterial small subunit ribosomal RNA", at positions 354 to 796 of the family's 1533-position model. The record is from RNAcentral.